Molecule: ribosomal RNA, 271 nt
Filed under: uncultured prokaryote
Description: partial 16S ribosomal RNA
Rfam family: Bacterial small subunit ribosomal RNA
Source: RNAcentral
UACGGAGGAUCCGAGCGUUAUCCGGAUUUAUUGGGUUUAAAGGGUGCGCAGGCGGGAGAUUAAGUCGGCGGUGAAAUUUUGCAGCUCAACUGUAAAAGUGCCUUCGAAACUGGUUUCCUUGAGUGUAGAUGAAGUAGGCGGAAUUUGUGGUGUAGCGGUGAAAUGCAUAGAUAUCACGAGGAACUCCGAUUGCGAAGGCAGCUUGCUGGGUCGUUACUGACGCUGAUGCUCGAAGGUGCGGGGAUCAAACAGGAUUAGAUACCCCGGUAGU